ACGAACGCUGGCGGCGUGCCUAAUACAUGCAAGUCGAACGGUCUUUCUAUGGAAGCUUGCUUCCACCGAAAAGAUAGUGGCGAACGGGUGAGUAACACGUGGGUAACCUGCCCAUAAGAGGGGGAUAACAUCCGGAAACGGGUGCUAAUACCGCAUAGUUUUCUUGAUCGCAUGAUCGGGAAAGGAAAGACGGCCUUUGUGCUGUCGCUUAUGGAUGGACCCGCGGCGUAUUAGUUAGUUGGUGAGGUAACGGCUCACCAAGACGAUGAUACGUAGCCGACCUGAGAGGGUGAUCGGCCACAUUGGGACUGAGACACGGCCCAAACUCCUACGGGAGGCAGCAGUAGGGAAUCUUCCGCAAUGGACGAAAGUCUGACGGAGCAACGCCGCGUGAGUGAAAGAAGGUUUUCGGAUCGUAAAACUCUGUUGUCAGAGAAGAACAAGUUGGAGAGUAACUGCUCCAGCCUUGACGGUAUCUGACCAGAAAGCCACGGCUAACUACGUGCCAGCCGCGGC
RNAcentral lists this ribosomal RNA (516 nucleotides) under uncultured bacterium. RNAcentral's name for it is "bacterial SSU rRNA". It matches the Rfam family "Bacterial small subunit ribosomal RNA", at positions 29 to 518 of the family's 1533-position model. The record is from RNAcentral.